AGCAGCCGCGGUAAUUCCAGCUCCAAUAGCGUAUAUUAAAGUUGUUGCAGUUAAAAAGCUCGUAGUUGAAUUUCGGGAUCAAAGAAUCGGUCAUGCCUUGGUAUGUACUGGUUUUAUUGGUUCUCACCUUCUAAAGAACCAUGAUGUCAUUCAUUUGAUGUUAUGGGGAAUUAGGACUGUUACCUUGAAAAAUUAGAGUGUUUAAAGCAAGCUUACGCUUGAAUACAUUAGCAUGGAAUAAUGAAAUAGGACAUCAGAUUCUAUUUUGUUGGUUUCUAGGAUCGAUGUAAUGAUUAAUAGGGAUAGUUGGGGGCAUUAGUAUUCAAUUGUCAGAGGUGAAAUUCUUGGAUUUAUUGAAGACUAACUACUGCGAAAGCAUUUGCCAAGGAUGUUUUCAUUAAUCAAGAACGAAAGUUAGGGGAUCGAAGACGAUCAGAUACCGUCGUAGUCUUAACCAUAAACUAUGCCGACUAGGGAUCGGAUGAUGUUAAUUUUUAAUGA
Molecule: ribosomal RNA, 501 nt
Filed under: uncultured Glomus
Lineage: Eukaryota; Fungi; Glomeromycota; Glomeromycetes; Glomerales; Glomeraceae
Description: SSU rRNA
Rfam family: Eukaryotic small subunit ribosomal RNA
Source: RNAcentral